UACGUAGGUGGCGAGCGUUGUCCGGAUUUAUUGGGCGUAAAGCGAGCGCAGGUGGUUUAUUAAGUCUGGUGUAAAAGGCAGUGGCUCAACCAUUGUAUGCAUUGGAAACUAGUAGACUUGAGUGCAGGAGAGGAGAGUGGAAUUCCAUGUGUAGCGGUGAAAUGCGUAGAUAUAUGGAGGAACACCGGUGGCGAAAGCGGCUCUCUGGCCUGUAACUGACACUGAGGCUCGAAAGCGUGGGGAGCAAACAGG
Molecule: ribosomal RNA, 252 nt
Filed under: uncultured bacterium
Lineage: Bacteria
Description: partial 16S ribosomal RNA
Rfam family: Bacterial small subunit ribosomal RNA
Source: RNAcentral